This 119-nucleotide ribosomal RNA is filed under the name Haemaphysalis longicornis (longhorned tick). Lineage: Eukaryota; Metazoa; Arthropoda; Arachnida; Ixodida; Ixodidae. The record is from RNAcentral.
AAAAUCGGCCAUACCAUGCUGAAUACGGCGGUUCUCGUCCGAUGAUCGAAGCAAAGCAGCAUUGGGCUAUGUCAGUACUUCGGAGGGAGACCACCUGGGAACACCGAGUGCCGAUGGCA